This 253-nucleotide ribosomal RNA is filed under the name uncultured bacterium. RNAcentral's name for it is "partial 16S ribosomal RNA". It matches the Rfam family "Bacterial small subunit ribosomal RNA", at positions 524 to 776 of the family's 1533-position model. The record is from RNAcentral.
UACGUAGGGUGCAAGCGUUAAUCGGAAUUACUGGGCGUAAAGUGUGCGCAGGCGGCCGCGCAAGUCGAGUGUGAAAGCCCCGGGCUUAACUUGGGAAUUGCGCUCGAAACUACGUGGCUGGAGUGUGGCAGAGGAAGGUGGAAUUCCACGUGUAGCGGUGAAAUGCGUAGAGAUGUGGAGGAACACCAAUGGCGAAGGCAGCCUUCUGGGCCAACACUGACGCUCAUGCACGAAAGCGUGGGGAGCAAACAGG